This 467-nucleotide ribosomal RNA is filed under the name uncultured bacterium. RNAcentral's name for it is "partial 16S ribosomal RNA". It matches the Rfam family "Bacterial small subunit ribosomal RNA", at positions 28 to 507 of the family's 1533-position model. The record is from RNAcentral.
GAUGAACGCUGGCGGCGUGCUUAACACAUGCAAGUCGAACGGAAAGGCCCAAGCUUGCUUGGGUACUCGAGUGGCGAACGGGUGAGUAACACGUGGGUGAUUUGCCCUGCACUUCGGGAUAAGCCUGGGAAACUGGGUCUAAUACCGGAUAGGACCACAUUUUGGAUGGUGUGGUGGAAAGUUUUUCGGUGUGGGAUGAGCUCGCGGCCUAUCAGCUUGUUGGUGGGGUAAUGGCCUACCAAGGCGUCGACGGGUAGCCGGCCUGAGAGGGUGUACGGCCACAUUGGGACUGAGAUACGGCCCAGACUCCUACGGGAGGCAGCAGUGGGGAAUAUUGCACAAUGGGCGCAAGCCUGAUGCAGCGACGCCGCGUGGGGGAUGACGGCCUUCGGGUUGUAAACUCCUUUCGCUAGGGACGAAGCGUUUUUGUGACGGUACCUGGAGAAGAAGCACCGGCUAACUACGUG